This 406-nucleotide ribosomal RNA is filed under the name uncultured bacterium. RNAcentral describes it as "partial 16S ribosomal RNA". It matches the Rfam family "Bacterial small subunit ribosomal RNA", at positions 30 to 526 of the family's 1533-position model. The record is from RNAcentral.
AUUGAACGCUGGCGGCAGGCCUAACACAUGCAAGUCGAACGAGUGGCGGACGGGUGAGUAAUAUCUGUGAAACUGCGUGCUGGAGGGGGGUAACUACUUGAAACGGUAGCUCAUACCGCAUACCCUCGGCGAUUCCCAGAGGGGGUUAGCGAGUAGGUGGGGUAAAGGCUCACCUAGGCGACGAUCCCUAGCUGGUCUGAGAGGAUGACCAGCCACACUGGAACUGAGACACGGUCCAGAUUCCUACGGGAGGAAGCAUUGGGGAAUAUUGCACAAUGGGGGAAAGCCUGAUGCAGCCAUGCCGCGUGUAUGAAGAAGGCCUUCGGGUUGUAAAGUACUUUCAGCGGGGAGGCGUUACCCGCAGAAGAAGCACCGGCUAACUCCGUGCCAGCCGCCGCGGUAAUAC